UACGGAGGGUGCAAGCGUUGUCCGGAUUUAUUGGGCGUAAAGGGCGCGUAGGCGGCUCAUGAAGGCUGUGGUGAAAGUCCGGGGCUCAACCUCGGAUCGGCCGUGGCGACUCGUGGGCUGGAGCACUGUAGAGGCGGGUGGAAUUCCGGGUGUAGCGGUGGAAUGCGUAGAGAUCCGGAAGAACACCAGUGGCGAAGGCGGCCCGCUGGGCAGUGGCUGACGCUGAGGCGCGACAGCGUGGGGAGCAAACAGG
This 253-nucleotide ribosomal RNA is filed under the name uncultured bacterium. Its description in RNAcentral is "partial 16S ribosomal RNA". It matches the Rfam family "Bacterial small subunit ribosomal RNA", at positions 524 to 776 of the family's 1533-position model. The record is from RNAcentral.